GAUGAACUCUAGCUACAGGCUUAACACAUGCAAGUCGAGGGGCAGCAUGGUCUUAUCUUGCUAAGGCCGAUGGCAACCGGCGCACGGGUGAGUAACGCGUAUCCAACCUGCCUUACACUCUUGGACAGCCUUCUGAAAGGGAGAUUAAUACAAGAUGUUAUCAUGAGUAAGCAUUUUUCACAUGAUUAAAGGUUUACCGGUGUAAGAUGGGGAUGCGUUCCAUUAGAUAGUAGGCGGGGUAACGGCCCACCUAGUCUUCGAUGGAUAGGGGUUCUGAGAGGAAGGUCCCCCACAUUGGAACUGAGACACGGUCCAAACUCCUACGGGAGGCAGCAGUGAGGAAUAUUGGUCAAUGGACGAGAGUCUGAACCAGCCAAGUAGCGUGAAGGAUGAAGGUUCUAUGGAUUGUAAACUUCUUUUAUACGGGAAUAAACGAAUCCACGUGUGGAUUUUUGCAUGUACCGUAUGAAUAAGGAUCGGCUAACUCCGUGCCAGCAGCCGCGGUAAUACGGAGGAUCCGAGCGUUAUCCGGAUUUAUUGGGUUUAAAGGGAGCGUAGAUGGGUUGUUAAGUCAGUUGUGAAAGUUUGCGGCUCAACCGUAAAAUUGCAAUUGAUACUGGCAGUCUUGAGUACAGUUGAGGUAGGCGGAAUUCAUGGUGUAGCGGUGAAAUGCUUAGAUAUCACGAAGAACUCCGAUUGCGAAGGCAGCUUACUAACCUGUAACUGACAUUGAUGCUCGAAAGUGUGGGUAUCAAACAGGAUUAGAUACCCUGGUAGUCCACACGGUAAACGAUGAAUACUCGCUGUAGGCGAUAUACAGUCUGCGGCCAAGCGAAAGCAUUAAGUAUUCCACCUGGGGAGUACGCCGGCAACGGUGAAACUCAAAGGAAUUGACGGGGGCCCGCACAAGCGGAGGAACAUGUGGUUUAAUUCGAUGAUACGCGAGGAACCUUACCCGGGCUUAAAUUGCAACCGAAUAUGGCGGAAACGCUAUAGCUAGCAAUAGCGGUUGUGAAGGUGCUGCAUGGUUGUCGUCAGCUCGUGCCGUGAGGUGUCGGCUUAAGUGCCAUAACGAGCGCAACCCUUGCCGAUAGUUACUAACAGGUCAUGCUGAGGACUCUGUCGGGACUGCCAUCGUAAGAUGUGAGGAAGGUGGGGAUGACGUCAAAUCAGCACGGCCCUUACGUCCGGGGCUACACACGUGUUACAAUGGGGGGUACAGAGGGCUGCUACCACGCAAGUGGAUGCCAAUCCCAAAAACCUCUCUCAGUUCGGAUUGAAGUCUGCAACCCGACUUCAUGAAGCUGGAUUCGCUAGUAAUCGCGCAUCAGCCACGGCGCGGUGAAUACGUUCCCGGGCCUUGCACA
This 1367-nucleotide ribosomal RNA is filed under the name uncultured bacterium. RNAcentral's name for it is "bacterial SSU rRNA". It matches the Rfam family "Bacterial small subunit ribosomal RNA", at positions 28 to 1387 of the family's 1533-position model. The record is from RNAcentral.